GAUGAAGAACGUAGCGAAAUGCGAUAAGUAAUGUGAAUUGCAGAAUUCAGUGAAUCAUCGAAUCUUUGAACGCACAUUGCGCCCGCUAGUAUUCUGGCGGGCAUGCCUGUUCGAGCGUCAUUUCAACCAUCAAGCUCCCGGGCUUGCGUUGGGGCCCUGCGGCUGCCGCAGGCCCCUAAAACUAGUGGCGGGCUCGCUGUCACUCCGAGCGUAGUAGUUACAUCUCGCUCUGGGCGUGCUGCGGGUUCCGGCCGUUAAAAGCCUUAUUUACCCAAGGUUGACCUCGGAUCAGGUAGGAAGACCCGCUGAACUUAAGCAUAUCAAUAAGCGGAGGA
Molecule: unclassified non-coding RNA, 335 nt
Filed under: soil metagenome
Description: partial contains 5.8S ribosomal RNA, internal transcribed spacer 2, and large subunit ribosomal RNA
Rfam family: 5.8S ribosomal RNA (bases 1-120)
Source: RNAcentral